Molecule: long non-coding RNA, 1903 nt
Organism: Tupaia belangeri chinensis (Chinese tree shrew)
Lineage: Eukaryota; Metazoa; Chordata; Mammalia; Scandentia; Tupaiidae
Exons: 3
Source: RefSeq, a predicted model, not a curated record
GAAGGUGGGGAAGGGUGAGCAGGGUCACAGAGAACAGAAGACUGCCCUGGGCUGUGGUCUGGCAGGAGAGUUUUACCACCGGAAUGGAGGGGACACAUUUCCGUACUUGACAGCAUAGUCAAAUCACCGUCAGCCCUCAUGACGUCACAAGGCAGAAAGGGGAGCGGACAGAACAUUCUAGAAGAGUGCUUGGGGUGCCUCGUAGAAUUGGAGCUCCCUGGCGUCUCUUUAAAUAACUCCACUUAUUUCUGAGCCCAGGUCAUUACUAAGCAUGUUAGAGAAGCUUUUGCUUUAAACAUCUUCCUUCAACAAAUGCAGGCCCUGGGAAAAGAUGAGAAUGAAGACCACGAGGAGGAGCUCUAAUGGUAAGAGAGGAUGGCUAGUGUGGGAACUCAGGUGUCUGAAUCCUCACAGCUGGCGUGAAGCUGAGGCCCGACGUGAACGCAGAAACUGAUUUACAGAGGUCUAAGGCUGCUUUAAGAUUUUAUAAAACUCCCGACUCGCAGAAUCCAGGCUGGCCUCUGCUCCUCCACUCCACGUAUCUCGGUCUGUGGUUUUCCAGUAGCUGCUGGGUUUACAGAAGUUGCACAGAAUCGGCCUUUCCCUGCUGGUCUUCCAUGGAAGUCUGGCCUGACACCCACAAUGCAGGACAAGGAGAUGAAGGCAAAGGGAGGAACAGGUUUCUGUGUGCUCUGAAGCAUGUUUGGGGUGUCGGAGGAUUAGCCCUGGGAGGCCGAAGGGGGCAAGCUCUGCAUGGCUGACCCAUGGGGGGGAGGGUCUAGGUUCAUGUCCAGAGACCUCCCUGGGCAUGCCAGGCAGGCACAUGUCCAGGACCCGGAACUGUCUAGGGGAGGGCAGAGCACGCCGUGGGGACCCUGGGAAGGGUAUGGUCUCUUUCUCUCUUCUGUCUCUCUUGUUCAAGGGUGAAAGGAAGAAACUUAAUAAUAAAAAAGAAACAGAAAUAAAAUUAACCCUUAGAUACUGGGCUAGGUGUAGGUACCAGCCUUUGGAUGCCAAGAAGGGCAUUGAAUCACCAAAAGUACUGAACAGCAGCCACGAGAUCAAGGAUAGGAUUAGGGAGGCUGCAGGCACGGGGCCCCUAGGUUUCCGGAUCGCCUGGACCUCCUAUUUUCUCCAAUCCCGGCAAGUCACUAUCUCUACGGGUCUUCCUUCCCUCUUCCAAGUCCUUCGGUUUUGAAAUACCGGCACUCUACCAUAUAGGUAAUCUACGUCUCUUCCCUGAAAGAAUUUAUAAUCUAGUUGGUGGUGUAAGACCUACUAUGGAAAGCUGGAGGACCAAAGAAGUGCUGAAAAGUCUUUUAUGUGGGGAAAAACCUAAAAUAACCUCCGAGAAAAAAAAAAAAUUACAAGGGGGAGGGGUAGGAGGCCAAUUCUUCUAGCCCUGCACUGGGAUUCUGACUAAGACCACCUCCUGGGCUGUGUCGGCUCUUUCUGAGGUAGUGAUGUUCCGGAGAUGGUGACUCAAGCAGCGAUUUGUCUGAGCCUGUGCAAGGAGCCCCGUAACCGCCCACCCUGUUUUAUGCUAAAUGAGUACACAAAGGAUCCAGCCACAGAAAAUGGUGCAAUCCUCUGCUUUACCAAGUUAUUCUUUGUCUUCUGAAGUCUUCCUCUGCAUUUUGUUCCAUCGUGAACUUUCUAUCAACUACCAAGACGUGAGAAUCCCCUCUAUUCAGAUCACACUCAACAUUUGUGGAGUAAAGUGAAUUAGAAUCCAGUUUCCUACCAGUGCUGCUUUUGGAUGAGAAUGGCCAGUGUUAACAUGUAAAAAUACUUAGAAAUAAAAAGCUAAAAGACCUUUGUUAAAACAGCUAUCAGCUUGUGCACUUGAAGAAAAAGACAUAUUAUGUGUAACCAAUAAAAAAUAAUAAUACCGGGCCAGGAG